Molecule: long non-coding RNA, 3625 nt
Filed under: Sus scrofa (pig)
Lineage: Eukaryota; Metazoa; Chordata; Mammalia; Artiodactyla; Suidae
Description: lncRNA (ENSSSCG00070012544.1)
Source: RNAcentral
AUGGCAUCAAAGAUGACGGAAGGACAGAGUCAGCAGAGCCAGAAUUUGGGGCAGUGGAGGCAGAGCACCUAUUUCCUGCAUUUGGACACUGCCAGCAGGUUGAUUCAGAAGAUGGGUGAAAAAUUUGUUCCUGGGGUAGCAGGAGGAGCACCACGACUUUGGAAUCGUUUGCUUAAAAGAAGGAUGAGCUUGGCUGUUCAUACCAUACAUCCCGGAGGUCUUCAGCAAGGUGAGGUUCCUCUGACCAAGAAGCCGGCUGCCUAGAUGCGCUAAGCACAGCUCCCUCGCAUAUUCUGGGUGAGUACUUUGCCAAGCACUGUGUGUAUUUGCAUUUUAAAAUUUAGAUGCCUUUCUUUCGGUCAAAUCAGUUUGAUGUAACGUUGCCCUGUGUGCAUAUGUAUUGAUAUAUGUACAUGCAUGCACACACUCAUGGACUGGAACUCAAAGUGACAUGGCUUCAGGUAAGUCAGCAUUUGUUUUUUCCGGUUUAUGCAGACUGGCUGGUUCAAAUCCAGGGUCGAUCACUUAUAGCUGUGUGUCCUUGGGAAGGUUUCAUUACUUCUUUGUUCCUUAAUUUAUACAUUGUGGACAAUGAUUACACCUAAAUGAUAUAAUGUGCAUGAGGCUGAGUUAAUACAUGUAAGGAGCCUAAAAUUCUGUUUGUCACAUUACAAGAACUCUUUAACUAUUGCAUUGUUAUUAUCCUAAACUGUCACAGUAUUAACAUUAAAACAUGUAAUUUACCAGAUCAAAUAAUCUAUAAAAUACUUGUCAGUGUGAACAAAAGAAUAGUGAUUAUGCUUAAAAUUUAAAAUGUUUCUGAAGCCAAAUGAGUUAAUCCAUGCUGAGUAUAGAAUGCCUUUUAUCACAUAAUAACUAUUUUAUUGUUAUCAUCCUUAACCAUGAUUUUAUAUAUAUAUAUAUAUAUAUAUAUAUAUAUUUUUUUUUUUUUUUGCUUUUGAGCAGCAUACGGAGGUUUCCAGGCUAGGGUGUGGAAUCAGAGCUAUAGCUGCUGGCCUAUACCACAGCCACAGCAACGCCAGAUCCACAGCUCAUGGCAAUGCCAGAUCCUUAACCCACUGAGUGAGGCCAGGGAUCGAACCCGCAUCCUUAUGGAUCCUAGUCAGUUUUGUUAAACCACUGAGCCACGAGGGGAACUCCAACCAUGAUAAUAUUAAUAUUAGGAGUUAAUGUUGUGGCUCAGUGGGUUAAGGACUAGACGUUGUCUCUGUGAGGAUGAGAAUUUGAUCCCUGGCCAUACUCAGUGGGUUAAGGAUCUGGUGUUGCCACAGCUGUGGUAUAGGUUGCAGAUGUGGCUUGGAUCUGGUUUUGCCAUAGCUGUGGUGUAGGCCAUAGUUGCAGCGCUCAUUUGACCCCUGGCUCAGGAACUUCCAUGUGCUGCAGGUGUAACUAUGAAAAGAAAAAAGAAAAAAAUUAAUAUUAAGAACAUUUAGAUUAGUAGAUCCAACUUUUUAAGUAUUUUAGUAUUUUAAAAUAGUUUGCUAUUUAGCUUUUGAUUGUUUUUAGUGUUUUCAAUAUGUUGAAGAUGUGAAUUACUAAAAUGAGGAUGAAAUUAAAUGGUUAAAGUGGAAAUGCAGUAAUUUGGCUAGCUCUUCUCUCUAGAUGAAAAAUAUAUCCUGAAGAAAUUCAAUUCCUUGGAACCAAAUACAUUUUAAAAUUCUAAUUCAUUUUUCUUGCAAUUUAUAGAUCUAGCAUUAUUAAAAUAUUCAUAUCGUUGAGCUAAUGAGGCAUAACAAAUUUAAUUUGCAAAACAAAGAUGACAGGAAUAGAACAUGAUCCAUAAUCACUUUUUUCUAAGCCUCAUGUUGUAGGCACUUCAUCAGAAAGAGAGACAGAUCAGACAUAUUUUAUAACUCCGUAGAACUUUGCAGAUAAACUCUUGGAAGAUUGUGGAAUAAUAGAAUUUUGGAACAAAACGUUUUGUAUCGUUUUCACUGUUUCUCAUUUGAGUAGGGUGCAACCCCACUGUGCUUGUCAGGGUUGUUUGACACGUGUAGGGGUGCAUUGUGUUGUUUGUCACCAGGAAGUCUUCAUUCCACAGUGUCAACUGAUUCCGUGAAGGGGGAACAGAAGAGGGAUGGGUAGAGAGAGCCACGGAUCGCCUUGCUGGUCCAUGGCCAGCUCCAGUGCAGAGAUGGCUAUGGCGGAUCCAUGUGGUGGGCAGAAAUGGCCAGACGCUCCUACUGAUGACCAUACUCCACUGCUGGCUGGAGCUUCUUGACAAGGGGAGGGGGGCUCCAUUUCAACCUGGGAGCCCAUCCCAGGGGGCUGCCGGCUAGGUGUCCUCCUCGUAGCUGAUACGCAGGCUCUUCCUCAGAGGUGGCUGCGAGUAGCCCAUCUCCAACUCUGCAGCCCAUCUCCAACUUGGUUCCUAAAUCCAGCUGAGCAUCCAUCUGGAGGCUGUUUGCCAUGGAUACCACAGAUGGCCAGAGUUCAGCACUGGUACACGGCUGGACCGUCUGAGUUCGUAGCAUCUCUUACGGGGAGAUUAUUCACCUUUCCUUCUGGUUUUUCGGGGGAGUGUGCAGAAGGAGCCUGGCAAGGAGCUCAAGGGGUUUUGCUGUGAUAAAGCUUGUCUGUUUGAAGGGCCAUUUAACUCUGCCUAAAGCAGGGGUUCUUGUUUUCAGUUCUAGUAGUAGGGGUGGUGGUAAUUACAGCAGGAGGGGGGAGAGGAAGAGACGUAGCAGUAGUAUUAAUAGGAAUAAUAAUAAUAGCUAAUGCUUCAUGGACACGGUGAUAAGGUCUGCCGUGUAAAAUCUUAUGCACUACUUACAAGAACAGUACAGAGCAAGUAUUGCUAUUAUUUUCAUUUCAGAGAUAAUAUAUGCAGAGGUUAAAUAGACUGAAACAUGAAAGAAGUGGAAUUUCAGACCCAUGUGCUAGGAUUCCCCAAGCACCUGUUGCCGUUCGCUACCAUUUCAAAUCUAGAUGUGGGUUUGAUUAUUCCACGUGCUUAUUGCAUAAUGUGCCUCGUACCUAUGUAUUUAAUGAUUGUUAGGCCUCCAUUUGCUCACCUGUAGAAAGUCAAGAAUAACAAGAACCAACCUGACUUUGUCAUGGCGUUAAUGUGAGAAAAAAAAAAGGAUGAUGUUGAGAAAGGUGUAAACUCUUCAUCGGUAAUGUUGGUUAUUAUCGUACUGGUAUGAAAUAGUCUGCAUUCUGGAAAGGAGAGUGCCAUACCUUUAUGCAAGUCUGACCGUAGCAGGGCUGGGAGAUUCAUUCUCAGGAAUUACUAUGAUCCCAGAAACUUGAGAGCUGGAAAGGCUCUGGAGAUGAUCCCGUUCGGUGGUUCUCAACGCAGCUACCUGUUUAUUUCUUUUGGGGGGAGCUUUUCAACAUUGUGGAUGCCCAGGAGUCAGUCCAUUUCCAGAGAUCCUGUUUCACUGGUCUGGAGGAGGGCGUAGACAUCUCAGUGUAUGUACAUGAAAACACAUGUGCAUUUGUCCAUGUAAAGUGUACAUACACAUGCGCGUGUGUGUAUGUGCUUGUGUGUGUGUGUGUGCACACGCAUGCAUGUGUGUAUUCUCCAAGGUGAUUCUGAUGUGUAGUCAGGAGGCACACAUGACCAAAUAAACCAACCGGCUUCUUUCUGAUAACUGGGAUG